Long non-coding RNA from Sciurus carolinensis (gray squirrel), 1930 nucleotides. RefSeq lists it as uncharacterized. The transcript has 2 exons. NCBI's taxonomy places the organism in Eukaryota, Metazoa, Chordata, Mammalia, Rodentia, Sciuridae. The record is from RefSeq and is a predicted model, not a curated record.
GGCGAGGUCGAUCGGUGGCUGCAGCUGCUUUGGGAGACGAAACCCGUAUGAAAAUGAGAAGGCGGGACGAGCGGAGAGGGAGACGCUGGAGCUCAAUUCCAACUCCUCUCGCUUGAAGUUGACCUUGUCACUCAGAGAAAUGGACUCUCCAUCUUCCUUCCAGUGGCCCUUCAAGCUGGACCGCCCGCGAGUACUGUCGUCUGGGACCAUGACCUCCUCGUAGUACUUGUCGCAGACCUCGGACAGGGGCACGUCCAUUUGUGUCUGCGACAUCGAGGCCAUGGUCCACCUAUUCCGAAUGUCGGGGUGCGGGUUCGGCCUCUCUGAGCCGCGGCGUGGUGGAGACUUGGACAACGCCUGUGGGCCACAUACAACGAGAGAAGCCAAGGGUCGGGGGAAGGGCAGGCUGGGAAGGCGACUUUGAGUCGGGACCUGUGGGGACUCUGGGGCACGGAUUGGUGGGAGCUGCAGGGAGCCAGGGCUGAGUGAGAGGUUCCACCAGGGGCCUGGAUGGGACCUGGGGUGAAUCUGGAGGGCUGAUGGGUGAGGGGUCCGGGGAAAGUUCUUACUUUUAAAGGCCUUUCCUCCAUGGUUCAGCCCCAACGGACACAGUCGCCACAGGCCUCAGGGCGGGGAGAAGAGGGUCACGCUCCAGGAAGUGGGGACGCGACCUUCGAAAUGGCUGGGGUCUCGCGCGCGGACAGUUCAAACCACAGUCCUCCACGCCCUCCCUCCCAGCCCACCGCUAUUCGGGGUGCUGAGGUUGAAGACCCCUACCCGGUCGCCUCCAGGCAGAGACGGGAGUCUAAGUGCAGCCAAAGGGGCUACGAUUUAUCCGACGUGAUCGCCCGGGGGUCCCGCGGUGGCCCGAGGAAAGGACGCCCACGCCCACUCGCAUGCCCCGAGCGCACGCCCGCAGUGGUGCAGACUGACGUUUAUUUAUGCAGGCUUUGAGGCACAGAAGUGAGAUGUGCUGAGGGACAGGCCCGGCCAGAGCAGCGAGACAGAAAGGCUUGGGGGUCUGGAAAUGGACAGAAGUGAGGAAGGGGCCGAGGCGAGAGGCUGCGCACAGGCGGCCGGGAGCCUCCUCCCCAGGCUUCAGCCGCAUUGAAAGAGGGCUCUUUGGUCGAAUAAGCCAAGCAUGCCGGGGAGACAGCAGGAACGAAGCCCUUUGAGAGGCCCGCGCCAGGGAUCCUGCCCCUACACUGGCACGCCUUUGUCUCGGGGGCGCCCGGGACCCCGGGGCCGCGCUGGCUUCCUGGGGGGGUUGGGACGGCGACGACCCCGCGGCGCCCGAGGCAGCGCGCAGCCGCGCUCGCUCUGCGUGUCAGAGGACUCGUCGAUGAAGGCCAGAUUCUCGCUGGGGUAAUCCAAGGCGGAGGCUGUGGGCGGGGAAGGCGUUUGGACCUUCUCCGGGGGUGCAGGAGAUGGGGGUUUGCGGACCGGCUGCGCUGGACAGGGCGGUGGGGGCAGGAGUGGCGGCUCCUUCUCCUGCGGUGGUACGGUGGGCCCGGCUCGCUGGGUCACCCGCGCAGUCACUGUGCCAGUCCAGCUGGCAGCCUGCGCCGUGAGGCCACCCAUCUGCGCGGGGAGGAACAGUAAUCCUCGACCAAGGGUCCGUGACCCCCUCUGCAACCCGGAAGCCUGUCCCUUCCCCAGUGAGGCAUCAGCAUUGCUUUUGCCUGGUCCUCCAGACUCAGCUGGCCGAGGAUAGGGCUCCUCGCCUAGGCUGCGCGCCCUCUUCUCUGGCACCAGCACUGAAUCGCGCCCUUCUCCGGGAGUCUUUUAGAAAAAUCCCAUUUUUAUUUCAGAAUUCCCCCUAGUACCGGCAGAGCUUUGCGCCACUGUCCUGCCAGUUGCUCUCAGUAUGAUGGCAAAACACAGUUAAAUGUAUAUUUAGAUAAAUGGCAAAUAAAUUUUUAGAAUAGUA